Molecule: long non-coding RNA, 321 nt
Filed under: Brassica napus (rape)
Lineage: Eukaryota; Viridiplantae; Streptophyta; Magnoliopsida; Brassicales; Brassicaceae
Description: long non-coding RNA (BNAP_LNC008963)
Source: RNAcentral
GAUAGGAGAUUUUCCAUUCGGUUUCAUCGCCAUGGAUUGAGGUUAGAGAAGUUUUAGGGUUUGAUUUUCACUCAAGAGUGAAAAUCAGUAUAUAAAGUAGCAGGAAAAGAAUAAACGAAAACAAAAUCAUAAAGAAGAAAUUGAUGGAUCGAGAUGUAGUGGAGUAUUGAUUAUGGAGAUGUGGAUCGAUAGAAGUGAAACGAUGGAGAACAAACUGUGAAGACGGAGAGUUAGAGGCGGAGAUCCUCGUGUUCACCGUCUAGGGUUGCUUUCUUUUGUUUAAUUGUAGCGCUAGGAUAGCAAAGCUCAGUGUUAACCAAU